CCGUAGAAUAUAGAAUGAGACAGAGUAGAGGGGGUGAACCGUAGUAUAUAGAAUGAGACAGAAAGAAGAGGGGGUGAACCGUAGAAUAUAGAAUGAGACAAAGUAGAGGGGGUGAACCGUAGUAUAUAGAAUGAGACAGAGAGAAGAGGGGGUGAACCGUAGUAUAUAGAAUGAGACAGAGAGUAGAGGGGGUGAACUGUAGUAUAUAGAAUUAGACAGAGAGAAGAGGGGGUGAACCGUAGAAUAUAGAAUGAGACAGAGUAGAGGGGGUGAACCGUAGUAUAUAGAAUGAGACAGAGAGAAGACGGGGUGAACCGUAGUAUAUAGAAUGAGACAGAGAGAAGAGAGGGUGAACCGUAGUAUAUAGAAUGAGACAGAGUAGAGGGGGUGAACCGUAGUAUAUAGAAUGAGACAGAGUAGAGGGGGUGAACCGUAGUAUAUAGAAUGAGACAGAGUAGAGGGGGUGAACUGUAGUAUAUAGAAUGAGACAGAGUAGAGGGGGAAAACUGUAAUUUAUAGAAUGAGACAGAGAGAAGAGGGGGUGAACCGUAGUAUAAAGAAUGAAACAGAGUAGAGGGGGAGAACCGUAGUAUAUAGAAUGAGACAGAGUAGAGGGGGUGAACCGUAGUAUAUAGAAUGAGACAGAGAAGAGGGGGUGAACCGUAGUUUAUAGAAUGAGACAGAGAGAAGAGGGGGUGAACCGUAGUUUAUAGAAUGAGACAGAGAGAGGAGGGGGUGAACCGUAGUUUAUAGAAUGAGACAGAGAAGAGGGGGUGAACCGUAGUAUAUAGAAUGAGACAGAGUAGAAGGGGUGAACAGUAGUAUUUUGAAUGAGACAGAGUAGAGGGGGUGACCGUAGUAUAUAGAAUGAGACAGAGUAGAGGGGGUGAACUGUAGUAAAUACAGUCACCGAGGCGAGGUAACUGAAAAAGAGAUGAAAAGGAAGAGGAUUGGUUUGAGGGGGAAUGUAGCCGUGAUAGAGAGAUUUGAUAGUGAAUUAUUAAUGCGAUUGGGAUGAAGACUAAGAUUGGGAAUGGUAUUGAGAUCUGUGUUGCGGUGGUGGUGACGGAAUGCUGCGGAUUACAGCUGGG
Molecule: long non-coding RNA, 1091 nt
Filed under: Salmo salar (Atlantic salmon)
Lineage: Eukaryota; Metazoa; Chordata; Actinopteri; Salmoniformes; Salmonidae
Description: lncRNA (ENSSSAG00000111508.1)
Source: RNAcentral